This 434-nucleotide ribosomal RNA is filed under the name uncultured prokaryote. RNAcentral describes it as "bacterial SSU rRNA". It matches the Rfam family "Bacterial small subunit ribosomal RNA", at positions 64 to 474 of the family's 1533-position model. The record is from RNAcentral.
GAACGAGAAAGUUUUCUUCGGAGAACGAGUAAAGUGGCGCACGGGUGAGUAACGCGUAAGUAAUCUACCCUUGCAUUUGGGAUAACUACGGGAAGCUGUAGCUAAUACCGGAUACGUUCAUAGAGUUACGACUCUAUGAAGAAAGAUGACCUCUUCUUGAAAGUUAUCGUGCAGGGAGGAGCUUGCGUACCAUUAGCUAGUUGGUAGGGUAAUGGCCUACCAAGGCGACGAUGGUUAGCGGGUCUGAGAGGAUGAUCCGCCACACUGGAACUGAAACCGGACCAGACUCCUACGGGAGGCAGCAGUGAGGAAUAUUGCGCAAUGGGGGAAACCCUGACGCAGCGACGCCGCGUGGAUGAUGAAGGCCUUCGGGUCGUAAAAUCCUGUCAGAUGGGAAGAAAUGUAUGAGGGAAUAAUACCUCUUGUGCUUGACG